Molecule: long non-coding RNA, 273 nt
Filed under: Helianthus annuus (common sunflower)
Lineage: Eukaryota; Viridiplantae; Streptophyta; Magnoliopsida; Asterales; Asteraceae
Description: hypothetical non coding rna
Source: RNAcentral
UCAUCUUCGAGCAUAUAUAUUUCUGGCUAAUCUAAUGACAUCAUUACCAAGGUUUUUUACGUCUUGGAGCACAAAUCUUUGAUUCUGUUCUAAUGGCUUCAUCACCAAGAUUAUUAUGCCCCUCUCAACCUGAGCGGUGUUGUGGCUUCCGGUUUACAUCCUGUUGACCAGGUACGGUGUUGUUGGGUGACAUGAUAUAAUUGAAGCCGAACAUAUUUCAUUAGGGGAUGAUUGUUUUUUCAAUUGGUCUAAAACGAAUUCGAGGUUAUUGGU